GACGAACGCUGGCGGCGUGCUUAACACAUGCAAGUCGAACGGAAAGGCCCUGCUUUUGUGGGGUGCUCGAGUGGCGAACGGGUGAGUAACACGUGAGUAACCUGCCCUUGACUUUGGGAUAACUUCAGGAAACUGGGGCUAAUACCGGAUAGGAGCUCCUGCUGCAUGGUGGGGGUUGGAAAGUUUCGGCGGUUGGGGAUGGACUCGCGGCUUAUCAGCUUGUUGGUGGGGUAGUGGCUUACCAAGGCUUUGACGGGUAGCCGGCCUGAGAGGGUGACCGGCCACAUUGGGACUGAGAUAGGGCCCAGACUCCUACGGGAGGCAGCAGGGGGGAAUAUUGCACAGUGGGCGGAAGCCUGAUGCAGCAACCCCGCGUGCGGGAUGACGGCCUUCGGGUUGUAAACCGCUUUCGCCUGUGACGAAGCGUGAGUGACGGUAAUGGGUAAAGAAGCACCGGCUAACUACGUG
Molecule: ribosomal RNA, 468 nt
Filed under: uncultured bacterium
Lineage: Bacteria
Description: partial 16S ribosomal RNA
Rfam family: Bacterial small subunit ribosomal RNA
Source: RNAcentral